GUCCAAUAAAGAGUGCAGUUAGAAAUGUGGGAGCUGGUUUCUCGUCCAAGUUUGCAAGUUGGGGUAAGGGAGGGGCGGGUGGAACUGGCUGCAUCCGCUGGCUGGCUUCAGACGGUGCUAACUUGGAAGCUUGAGCAGAGGGGAUGGUAGGGCCGAUGAACUGGGGGAUUGAUAAUGAAACAGGAAGGCUUUCCUCACCAAAUGCCCAGCUGGUGCCUGGAAGCUGGUCGGGAUCCAGAGCCUAGUUCACAGAUUAGAGGACCCUGCAGUGAGUUGGCAGUCUCCGCGGGCGGGGCCGUUGAACAGGGGUUUGCCCUAUUCUGGAUGGUCUGAAGGAAGAUGUUAAUUACGAAAGAACAUCCGGUUCUUGGCAUUCUGUGUAGAAGAAAUCAAUGAUGUUGAAGACCCUAAAGAGAAUCACUGAUUUUGCGGAGGCUUAAUAAAAAGUCAACAAUCAAACA
RNAcentral lists this long non-coding RNA (461 nucleotides) under Sus scrofa (pig). RNAcentral describes it as "lncRNA (ENSSSCG00070023379.1)". Lineage: Eukaryota; Metazoa; Chordata; Mammalia; Artiodactyla; Suidae. The record is from RNAcentral.